This 400-nucleotide ribosomal RNA is filed under the name uncultured bacterium. RNAcentral describes it as "bacterial SSU rRNA". It matches the Rfam family "Bacterial small subunit ribosomal RNA", at positions 359 to 776 of the family's 1533-position model. The record is from RNAcentral.
GAAUAUUGGACAAUGGGCGAAAGCCUGAUCCAGCCAUGCCGCGUGGAUGAUGAAGGCCUUAGGGUUGUAAAGUCCUUUUAACGGGGAAGAUAAUGACGGUACCCGUAGAAUAAGCCCCGGCUAACUUCGUGCCAGCAGCCGCGGUAAUACGAAGGGGGCUAGCGUUGCUCGGAAUCACUGGGCGUAAAGCGCACGUAGGCGGCUUUCUAAGUCAGGGGUGAAAUCCUGGAGCUCAACUCCAGAACUGCCUUUGAUACUGGAAAGCUUGAGUUCGGGAGAGGUGAGUGGAACUGCGAGUGUAGAGGUGAAAUUCGUAGAUAUUCGCAAGAACACCAGUGGCGAAGGCGGCUCACUGGCCCGAUACUGACGCUGAGGUGCGAAAGCGUGGGGAGCAAACAGG